GACGAACGCUGGCGGCGUGCUUAACACAUGCAAGUCGAACGGAAAGGCCCUGCUUUUGUGGGGUGCUCGAGUGGCGAACGGGUGAGUAACACGUGAGUAACCUGCCCUUGACUUUGGGAUAACUUCAGGAAACUGGGGCUAAUACCGGAUAGGAGCUCCUGCUGCAUGGUGGGGGUUGGAAAGUUUCGGCGGUUGGUGAUGUACUCGCGGCUUAUCAGCUUGUUGGUGGGGUAGUGGCUUACCAAGGCUUUGACGGGUAGCCGGCCUGAGAGGGUGACCGGCCAAAUUGGGACUGAGAUACGGCCCAGACUCCUACGGGAGGCAGCAGUGGGGAAUAUUGCACAAUGGGCGGAAGCCUGAUGCAGCAACGCCGCGUGCGGGAUGACGGCCUUCGGGUUGUAAACCGCUUUCGCCUGUGACGAAGCGUGAGUGACGGUAAUGGGUAAAGAAGCACCGGCUAACUACGUG
This 468-nucleotide ribosomal RNA is filed under the name uncultured bacterium. RNAcentral's name for it is "partial 16S ribosomal RNA". It matches the Rfam family "Bacterial small subunit ribosomal RNA", at positions 28 to 507 of the family's 1533-position model. The record is from RNAcentral.